RNAcentral lists this non-coding RNA (257 nucleotides) under Granulosicoccus antarcticus IMCC3135. Its description in RNAcentral is "Intron_gpI". It matches the Rfam family "Group I catalytic intron". Rfam says of the family: Group I catalytic introns are large self-splicing ribozymes. They catalyse their own excision from mRNA, tRNA and rRNA precursors in a wide range of organisms. Lineage: Bacteria; Pseudomonadati; Pseudomonadota; Gammaproteobacteria; Chromatiales; Granulosicoccaceae. The record is from RNAcentral.
GCAGGGGACUCAUCUUAAAUGGUGCGUUCAUAUCGUAAGAUAUGAAAUGAACGGGAUGAAUUCAGGGAAACCUUAACAGCUCAGUUAAUCACUGAGGCUGAUGGCAAUCCUGAGCCAAGCCAAAGGUACACCUUUGGAAGGUGCAGAGACUACCUGAGAACUUUAGUGUUCUUGAUAACAGGCUAGAGCUUCCCGCGCCCCACCAGUCACUUCGAUUGAGGGUGAUGAGAUAGUCCGCUCCGUGCAGAAAUGUUCGG